Molecule: ribosomal RNA, 786 nt
Filed under: Physconelloides eurysema
Lineage: Eukaryota; Metazoa; Arthropoda; Insecta; Psocodea; Philopteridae
Description: large subunit ribosomal RNA
Rfam family: Bacterial large subunit ribosomal RNA
Source: RNAcentral
UUAGAGUGAUUGGAAAUUAAUUUUUGGUUUGUUUUAAUUUUAUUUGGAAUUUUUUUUUUGGAAUUUUAGUUGGAUAAAAUUUUCUGAAAUUAUUAUCUUUCAAUUAGUAGAAGAGGAACUUAUACUAAGGAACUCGGCAAAAAGAAUUGAUCCUGCCUGUUUAAUAAAAACAUCGCUUCAUUAUUAGAAUAUGAGGUAGUACCUGCUCAAUGCGAAAGUAAAUAGCCGCAGUAUUCUGACUGUGCGAAGGUAGCAUAAUAAGUUGGCCUUUAAUUGAGGUCUAGAAUGAAUGGUUUGACAAGGGUUUAUCUGUCUCGGUAUAUAAUAAUUUUUGAAAUUUAAUUGUCUGUAAAAAUGCUGACAUAUAAGAGAGGGACGAGAAGACCCUAUAGAUCUUUAAUGUAUUAAGAGUAAUUUUACUUUGUAAUAUUUUUUGUUUGGGGAAAAUCUUGAAAUUUUUAAACUUCGGUUAAAGAGAAAAUUUAAAAAUUGACUUUUGAUCCACUUUAGUGAAAAAAUGAAAAAGUUACCUUAGGGAUAACAGGACAAUGACUUCCUUAAAGAUCUUAUUUUUGGAAGCGUUUGUUACCUCGAUGUUGAAUUAAGCUAUCUCGUUAAAGAAGGAAUUCUUGAAGUUGGUCUGUUCGACCAUUGAAAGCUUACAUGAUUUGAGUUUAGACCGACGUGAGUCAGGUCAGAUUCUAUCUUCUCUAAAAUAUUUUAUUUCUUUGUACGAAAGGAUCAGAAAUAUUAUUUGUUGGAAUAAUUUUUUAUAAAAUAAAAUUA